GAUGAAGAACGUAGCGGAAUGCGAUAAGUAAUGUGAAUUGCAGAAUUCAGUGAAUCAUCGAAUCUUUGAACGCACAUUGCGCCCGCCAGUAUUCUGGCGGGCAUGCCUGUCCGAGCGUCAUUUCAACCCUCGAACCCCUCCGGGGGGUCGGCGUUGGGGAUCGGCCCUGCCUCUUGGCGGUGGCCGUCUCCGAAAUACAGUGGCGGUCUCGCCGCAGCCUCUCCUGCGCAGUAGUUUGCACACUCGCAUCGGGAGCGCGGCGCGUCCACAGCCGUUAAACACCCAACUUCUGAAAUGUUGACCUCGGAUCAGGUAGGAAUACCCGCUGAACUUAAGCAUAUCAAUAAGCGGAGGA
RNAcentral lists this unclassified non-coding RNA (355 nucleotides) under soil metagenome. RNAcentral's name for it is "partial contains 5.8S ribosomal RNA, internal transcribed spacer 2, and large subunit ribosomal RNA". The stretch from base 1 to 120 matches the Rfam family "5.8S ribosomal RNA", at positions 35 to 154 of the family's 154-position model. The record is from RNAcentral.